This 341-nucleotide ribosomal RNA is filed under the name uncultured soil bacterium. RNAcentral describes it as "bacterial SSU rRNA". It matches the Rfam family "Bacterial small subunit ribosomal RNA", at positions 26 to 351 of the family's 1533-position model. The record is from RNAcentral.
AGAGUGAACGCUGGCGGUAGGCCUAACGCAUGCAAGUCGAACGGCAGCACAGUGGUAGCAAUACCAUGGGUGGCGAGUGGCGGACGGGUGAGGAAUACAUCGGAAUCUACCUUUUCGUGGGGGAUAACGUAGGGAAACUUACGCUAAUACCGCAUACGCCCUUUGGGGGAAAGCCGGGGAUCGCAAGACCUGGCGCGGAUAGAUGAGCCGAUGUCGGAUUAGCUAGUUGGUGAGGUAAUGGCUCACCAAGGCGACGAUCCGUAGCUGGUCUGAGAGGAUGAUCAGCCACACUGGAACUGAGACACGGUCCAGUACCGUACCGUACGGGACGGACGACGACG